GGUUGAUAGAUAUACCUCUAUUUCAUUUAUUCUAAGUGCUGUGUAGUGAUCCAUCUGUACCACAAUUUAUGUAUUCAUUCUUUAAUUGAUUAACAUUGUCUGCUUUUUUAUCUCAUUUAUAUAUCCUUUUGCAAAUAUAUGAAGUUUCCCCUUGGUUAUGUACCUAGAAAUGGAAUUGUUGGGUUUUAAGGUACAAAUACUCUUUAUUUAUUUGAUAGCACAUUUUCCCUCUAUCUGUAUUAGUGAGAAUAUACUAGCUGUAGUAAUAAACAAUCUCAGAAUUACAGUGAUUUAAUACAUCAUAUGCUUCUUCUCUUUCUGCUGAUCAUCUUUUUCUGCUUCUCAGUGCUCACAGAAGACGGCUGCCAUUCAGCUUCUUAUUUCAAGCAGCUAGCAGGGACUAACUGCUAUUUUAACUCCCAAGGGAGUCAAAUUCCCAAAGGAGAGACUAAGACAGGCCACCUCAGGUCAAGCAUUUAUCAUUUAUCUAAUUAGCCAGAACAGCGGGAGGGGGUUUGCAGUUCAUAAGGGACUAUCAUGGCCCAUUCUUUGAUGAAGGCUGGGGAAUGGACAGUUCUCAGAACAGGGCAGCUGCAGCUCCAAAGGAAGUCACCCCUGGAAGGGCACAAACAGAAGUCUUCUCUGUCCCCAUCUCUACUGAAAAUUAACCAGCUUUCUCCUUUUGUUGAUUUUCCAGAACUACAAAUAUAGAAAUCUUUCACUUGGACGUUCUGCUUCUUGGUUAUUACAUGUUUCCUUCCAAAUUUCAUCUUCUCCCAUCUCCCUACAAACUUCAAAAGAGGUGUACAAAGGAACUUAAGAGCCAUUUUCUGCUUACCCACCUCUUUAGAAGGUGGGGAGGAUGACUCAGGAAAAUGCAGUAACUGACUGAUGCUAAUAUCAGAACACAAUCAGAAGCGGUCUUUAGGGGAAGCCUCAAGAUUUGCCAUUGAUCGCUGGUCUUGAAUCAAUUCAAGACUAGCCAUUAAAAGGCAAACCCUGGCAAUCCUUGGAAAGAAGAAAUUUGACUGUAAUACGGGCAGUAUGUGUUUGGGAGACCAAUGAUCAUUUGUAAGGCUUUCAACUGCGGCGACGGUAAAUCCAGGAAGUGAAUCAUUCCUCCGAGUGAUGGCUGUUAAGAGAGUCAUAUAGUAAAUUUCUCCCUUUACCAUGGAUUUCCAAUCACUGAAGUCAUCAGGUUGGCCUGAAGACCCCUCAAAAUAAUGUGUUGCUAUUGUGAAGGGCCACCUGUGCCUUACAACAAAUCACAUCUGAUCAACAUGUUCAGCCUUGUUCUCACCAUCACCUGCUCUCUUGUGUUCAAAAUUGCCACCACUCCUGUUUCUCUUACCACUGCUCUCUCUGCCUAGAAACUUAUGCCCUCUCCUCCUGUUCCCCAUCAUUCUUCCUGGAGUGGGGUCCUAAUCAUCCUUGAAAAUUCAUCUUAGGUGCCAUCCUUUAUGGGAAAAUGUCACUAAGUAUAUCCUUCCCAUUGUCAUUGAUAGCAGCUCUUCCUCAAACUGUAAUGUACAAAUAAAUUACCUGGGUAUCUUGUUAAUAUGCAGAUUCUCUUUCAAUAGGGCUGAGAUGGGGGUUUGCAUUUCCAGCAAACUCCCAGGUGCUGUUGAUGCUGCUGAUCUACAGUCUACACUUUGGGUACUAGAAUUUAAUAGGUAAGGAACACUUCUGCUGAGCUCUUGUAGCAUGCUAUGCAUUGAACUCUUCCCUAGAAUUCUUUUGCAAUGGUUCAAUUAUAUAUCUAUCUCUCCCACUAGACAGUGCCUCUUGAGGUCAGAAACUAUAAAUCUUUCAUUUGCAACUGAUAAGAAUACAACUGAAUCUAGACUGAGGGAAAGGGAAAGGGAGGAUGUUUUGGCUCAAUUAACUGAAACAAAAAAAUUCUAGACAUAGCUGGAUCCAGGGGCUCAACUGAUGCUUUGUGUACGUGCUUCCUUCCCUCCUUGGCUCUGCUUUAUGCAGUACGGAAUUCAUGGUAAAGGAAGUGAAAGUAGUGAGCUUAGCAACCUCAACAGGAAGAAUAUACUCCUUCUCAGGUGCUCACAGACUAAUAGAGAAGAUGGGUUAAAUCUAAUAACAGAAACAUGUUCAGGGUCAAAUGAGACCUGAGAUGAUUAGAAACCUACUCAACCUGGAGAAUUCAGAGAGGGAUACUGAGGGUUGAGGUAAAAGGAUCAGGAGAAGCUUUCCAGAGUAGGUAAUGUCAGACCUGGGUCUUAAAGAACGACUGUGAGUUUGCUAAGGAAGAAUAUCCAAGCAGAAGUCACCUUGUAUGCCCGCUUAGACAGCAACUUCGUUAAUAAUGAAAAUAAAAAUUGGAAAAGUCAAUUUGAUAUCUAGAUAACUGAGUUUUGUAAUGCCAAAUAUCAGGGUAUUUGAAAAUACCUAAAUGGCCUGAGUAAGAUCAUAAAAUCUUAAUGCUGGUACGCUAAGUAUCAUCUAAUCGGAAUUUCUUAUUUUACAGAUGAGAAAAUAAAUUGAGACCCUGAAAUUUUAAAUAAUCAAACAUUUAUUGACUCUUCUGAAGGCAUUAAUAAUUCCUCUGCUUAUUCUCAAAUACCCAGGUGCAUGCAGUGAUACUAAUAAAACCAUAAUUUCAGAGAUCAAUAAAGUAACACUUCCAAGGGAGACAAGUUUUUUUUCUAAUCAAGAUUUUCACAAGCAAACAAGGCUUCUAAGAAAUAUAUCCAUGCACUUUUUCAAAAAACUUCAAAAACAAUAAUAGAACAAACUGUUAGGAAUAGAAAACCAAAUACCACAUGUUCUCACUUAUAAGUGGGAGCUAAAGAGUGAGAACACAUGGACACAUAGAGGGGAACAACACACACUGGGGCCUUUCUGAGGGUGGAGGGUGGGAGGAGGGAGAGGAUCAGGAAAAAUAACUAAUGAGUAACAGGCUUAAAACCUGGGUAAUGACAUAAUCUGUACAACAAACCUCCAUGACACAAGUCUAUCUAUGUAAUAAACCUGCACUUGUACCCCUGAACUUAAAAUGAAAGUUAAAAAAAAAAGAAAAAAGUAUCAGGAAUUCAUUUAGCAAAUAUCUUAUGCACAGAUACUAUGAGGCGGGCACAAUGCUAAAGAAACUAAAAGGGUUGUGAAGAUAAAUAAGACGUCGCCUGUGCCCUGCAGUGGAAAUCAUGAUUGAGAAAUUACCUUCAGAGAGAUUAAAAUUUCUAAAACCUAUAGCUUUAAAAUAGAGGAUAAUAGGAUUGAGAGUGAAGUUACAUUGUGAGUAUCUUAAAUUUUUCUAAUUCAAACAUACCAGGAACAAUUCAAACACAAAUGCAUGCACACAGGUGUACAUUCAGAUGAGGCAGUCAGCUUCAGAGGUGAUGUUUGUUACCCCUGAAUCUAAAUUUUAUGGAUUCAGAUUGAAGCCUCAUCAAGUGCUAAUUGUAUGACAUGUGACAAAUCACCUAACGUCUUCUGCCUUAAUCCCCACAUGUGUAAAAAAUGGGGACAAUUAAGUACAAAUAUUUUAGAAUUGCUGUGAAGGUCACAUGAGAUCAUACAUGUAAAGUGUUUGGGGCAGGAACUUGAACAUAGUAAGCACUUCUAAUGUUUCCUCUCACAACGGUAGAUGGUUCUGCCCUGCAUUCUACCCUAAGAACACGCCAUUUUCCCUUGAGUGAGGAUGAAGAGGGCUAUGGGAAUCUGUGGCUUUUUUUUUUUUUU
This 3696-nucleotide long non-coding RNA is filed under the name Homo sapiens (human). RNAcentral describes it as "HSALNT0143982". The record is from RNAcentral. Lineage: Eukaryota; Metazoa; Chordata; Mammalia; Primates; Hominidae.